This 253-nucleotide ribosomal RNA is filed under the name uncultured bacterium. Its description in RNAcentral is "partial 16S ribosomal RNA". It matches the Rfam family "Bacterial small subunit ribosomal RNA", at positions 524 to 776 of the family's 1533-position model. The record is from RNAcentral.
UACGGAGGGAGCAAGCGUUACUCGGAAUUAUUGGGCGUAAAGGGCGCGUAGGCGGCUUUUCAAGUCGGGCGUGAAAGCUCCGGGCUUAACCUGGGAACUGCGUUUGAUACGGAUGGGCUAGAGUUCGGGAGAGGAGAGUGGAAUUCCCAGUGUAGAGGUGAAAUUCGUAGAUAUUGGGAAGAACACCGGUGGCGAAGGCGGCUCUCUGGACCGAGACUGACGCUGAGGCGCGAAAGCGUGGGGAGCAAACGGG